This 420-nucleotide ribosomal RNA is filed under the name uncultured bacterium. RNAcentral describes it as "bacterial SSU rRNA". It matches the Rfam family "Bacterial small subunit ribosomal RNA", at positions 355 to 774 of the family's 1533-position model. The record is from RNAcentral.
UAAGGAAUAUUGCUCAAUGGGAGAAAUCCUGAAGCAGCAACGCCGCGUGGAGGAUGAAGGGUCUAUGACUUGUAAACUCCUGUAAAGAAGGAAAAAAUUCCCAUUAGAUGGGAGAUGAUGGUACUUCUGGAGUAAGCCCCGGCUAACUACGUGCCAGCAGCCGCGGUAAUACGUAGGGGGCAAGCGUUGUCCGGAUUUACUGGGUGUAAAGGGUGCUCAGGCGGAUUUGUAAGUCAGAGGUGAAAUCUUACAGCUUAACUGUGAAACUGCCUGUGAUACUGCAAGCCUAGAGUAUGGAAGAGAGUGAUAGAAUAUCUGGUGUAGCAGUGAAAUGCGUAGAUACCAGAUAGAACACCAAUGGCGAAGGCAGUCACUUGGUCCAUUACUGACGCUAAAGCACGAAAGCGUGGGUAGCAAACA